GCCCGGGUGGUCUAGUGGUAUGAUUCUCGCUUAGGGAGUAAUAUGUGUCUGGGAAUCUAGGCAUGUAUACUAAUUAACCCAAGCAUAUCUGCGAGAGGUCCCGCGUUCAAUCCGCGGCUCGGGCC
Aspergillus steynii IBT 23096 is the source of this 125-nucleotide non-coding RNA. Lineage: Eukaryota; Fungi; Ascomycota; Eurotiomycetes; Eurotiales; Aspergillaceae. The record is from the annotation of a RefSeq genome assembly.